Molecule: ribosomal RNA, 419 nt
Filed under: bacterium
Lineage: Bacteria
Description: partial 16S ribosomal RNA
Rfam family: Bacterial small subunit ribosomal RNA
Source: RNAcentral
UGGGGGAUAUUGCACAAUGGGCGAAAGCCUGAUGCAGCGACGCCGCGUGGGGGAUGAAGGCCUUCGGGUUGUAAACUUCUUUUGCUCUGAACAAGGCAUGCUAAUGGGUGUGUUGAGUGUAGGGGUUGAUUAGCGCCGGCUAACUACGUGCCAGCAGCCGCGGUAAUACGUAGGGCGCGAGCGUUGUCCGGAAUUAUUGGGCGUAAAGGGCUUGUAGGUGGCUGGUUGCGUCUGUCGUGAAAGCUCAUGGCUUAACUGUGGGUUUGCGGUGGGUACGGGCUGGCGUGAGUGCAGUAGGGGAGGCUGGAAUUCCUGUUGUAGCGGUGGAAUGCGCAGAUAUCAGGAGGAAUACCGGUGGCGAAGGCGGGUCUCUGGGCUGUUACUGACACUGAGGAGCGAAAGCAUGGGGAGCGAACAGG